AAUUUUGGUCAAGGUCAGGGGUGUAAUAUAUGAUGCAACAUAUAUAAUAAAAUAGAAUAUGUAGCAUAUUUAAAAUAAUGAAGUUACUGAAUAACAAGCUUUAAAAAUAAAAUAAAAUAAAAUAAAAACCAAUGUGACAAUUCAGAACUGUAAAUCAGAAUUAUGUUACCCAUCAAAAUUUAAAAUUACUAGCCAUGUAAUGCUUUCUCUAGGGUUGAAACACCAUAUAAUUGUUAUUGUAAAAAAUUACCGUAUUUUGUAACAUUAACAAGGUAUAUAUUAUAACUAAAGAGUAUUAGUUCUUUACAUACCACUGCUUAUACAAAUCAAUAAUAUAUACAUACUUGUAAAAAGUAAACGUGUCAAUUGCUGUUGAGUGCCAACAAGGAUCAACCACAACUCAAAAAAAACAUACAUAUUUUCAUAAAUAUGCCAUCAAAAAUCGUAAAAUGCCUGUUUUUAAUCAUAAAUCAUACUGUAAUUAACACUCAGAACCACUUAGUUAUUCAGUUUUCUAAAUAUUUGUUUGUGACAUGUAACAAAACAUUUAAGGAACAACAAAAAAUAAAGUUUUAAAAAUAACUAAA
RNAcentral lists this long non-coding RNA (587 nucleotides) under Physcomitrium patens. RNAcentral describes it as "long non-coding RNA (PPAT_LNC003781)". The record is from RNAcentral. Lineage: Eukaryota; Viridiplantae; Streptophyta; Bryopsida; Funariales; Funariaceae.